GCCCUUGUAGCUCAGUUGGUAGAGCACCUGAUUUGUAAUCAGGGGGUCGUCGGUUCGAAUCCGGCCGGGGGCACCA
Molecule: transfer RNA, 76 nt
Filed under: Rhizobiaceae bacterium
Lineage: Bacteria; Pseudomonadati; Pseudomonadota; Alphaproteobacteria; Hyphomicrobiales; Rhizobiaceae
Also listed under: 1 other name
Description: tRNA-Thr
Rfam family: tRNA
About the family: Transfer RNA (tRNA) molecules are approximately 80 nucleotides in length. Their secondary structure includes four short double-helical elements and three loops (D, anti-codon, and T loops).
Source: RNAcentral